AUCUGCUAAAACCACACGCCAAGCAAUCAAAACACAAAAUAAAGACAAGAAAAGGUAAUAAAUCGAAAAGAGAGCAAAGUACGUCUUAUUCCGAAUUCGCGUUUGAGCGUUACAACAAGGUAAAAGCCUGGGCUACGAGAGCUGUCGGCGAGAUUCCUAGUUUUAAAACCCUAAAGCUGCUAAACCUAAUUGAGUCGCAGUUCGAAUAACAAAAACGGAAAAUUACCUAAACUGCUCUAAGUGCUAAGUUUGCUGUGAAAAAGUUCUCUCCUGUGCCUCUCCCCUAGAACUCCUUAUAUACUCCUCCAAAGUCGGUUUUAGCUUUUUCCCUUCUGCCCUUAACAAGUCAUAGCU
Molecule: long non-coding RNA, 354 nt
Filed under: Brassica napus (rape)
Lineage: Eukaryota; Viridiplantae; Streptophyta; Magnoliopsida; Brassicales; Brassicaceae
Description: long non-coding RNA (BNAP_LNC000885)
Source: RNAcentral